Long non-coding RNA from Falco peregrinus (peregrine falcon), 853 nucleotides. RefSeq lists it as uncharacterized. The transcript has 6 exons. NCBI's taxonomy places the organism in Eukaryota, Metazoa, Chordata, Aves, Falconiformes, Falconidae. The record is from RefSeq and is a predicted model, not a curated record.
CAAAGGGGCGGGGCUUCCGGCCUCGUACGUAUGGGCUACGCAUACGGCCCCGGAAGGUGGGUUCAUUUCCGGCCCGCGCGGCGCGCUGGAGUGGCUGUGGAGGUGCGGAGCCUUCGCCGGGAACCUGGAAGAGUUUCGGGCCGGGACGUGCGGCGGCGCGCUGGGUUCGUCUGGAAUUGUACAUUGACAAAUCAAGGGGAGCGGAACCGAAGGGCCUCGGCUGUUGCGUGCAGAGAAGCUGUCAGCCUUGUGAGAGAGCAUGCAGCCGGCAAGCGCAUCGUGGUGCUUCGGUACCGAGCUGAUACCGCAGGCGUCCGUCUUUUGUUUGCGAAAAGGGAUCGCGAGGAAAGGUGCUGACGUUGGAGGGGAGGUGAUUUCCAGGCGGAGCUGACCAGUGGGGUUCUCUGGCUGAGGGGAAGACCAGCCGUCAGCUGGUGGAUGUGCUUCUGGAAGAAAUAGCAACGGGAGCUCUAAGAGAGGGAAAUGGCUUCCCUGCAUGGAAGGAGGAGGGGAGCGCUGAAGCUUUCGUGGCCAAGCCCCGGAGCCAGGAUGUCAGGGAGAAGCAGGAGUAUCUGAGCCAGCUGAAGAACAAGCUGGGAGAUCUACUAGAGGGGAAGGCAGAUGAUCUGAAGACUGCUUUCUGUGCGAUUGAUCCCGGUAUCGACGAUCAGACGCUAGAUACCUACGUUGACCUGCCGGAUCAAGAAGAUGUGCCUGUGGAAACUGCACUCGAGAGGCUGCUUGCUGGAUAUGCGAGACGAGUAGGGCCCUCGCCCAGGGAGGGAAGCACGACAGGCUUUGGAGGGGAGGAAGGAGACUUCCAAUAAUAAGAAUAAAUGGACUGUUUGAUCUA